UCCCUGUUACCAGGGCAGUCUUGCCUGAGAAAUACAACAGACAAUAAGGGUUGCGCUCGUUGAUGGACUUAACCAAACAUCUCACGACACGAGCUGACGACGGCCAUGCAUCACCUGUCACUUGGCUCAAUAAAGCACUCUCGCCUUUCGGCAAAAUUCCAAGGAUGUCAAACCUGGGUAAGGUUCUUCGUUUACCAUCGAAUUAAACAACACGCUCCACCGCUUGUGCGGGUCCCCGUCAAUUCCUUUAUGUUUUAGUCUUGCGACCGUACUCCACAGGCGGGAUGCUUAACGCGUUAGCUUCGCUACUAGAGGGGUCGAUACCUCUAACAGCUAGCAUCCAUCGUUUACGGCGUGGACUAC
RNAcentral lists this unclassified non-coding RNA (363 nucleotides) under uncultured bacterium. RNAcentral describes it as "contains 16S-23S intergenic spacer region". The record is from RNAcentral.